AAUCAACGCUGGCGGCGUGCCUAACACAUGCAAGUCGAGCGCGAAAGCGGGGCAACUCGCAAGUAGAGCGGCGAACGGGUGAGUAACACGUGGGUGAUCUGCCUCCGAGUGGGGAACAACAGCGGGAAAACUGCUGCUAAUACCGCAUGACAUCUUCGGGUCACAGCGAAGAUCAAAGCCGGGGACCGCAAGGCCUGGCGCUUGGAGAGGAGCCCGCGCCGAUUAGCUAGUUGGCGGGUAACGGCCCACCAAGGCGACGAUCGGUAGCCGGCCUGAGAGGGCGGACGGCCACACUGGGACUGAGACACGG
Molecule: ribosomal RNA, 310 nt
Filed under: uncultured bacterium
Lineage: Bacteria
Description: bacterial SSU rRNA
Rfam family: Bacterial small subunit ribosomal RNA
Source: RNAcentral